AGAGUUUGAUCCUGGCUCAGAACGAACGCUGGCGGCGUGGAUAAGACAUGCAAGUCGAACGGGAUAUUUGGGGUAGCAAUACAUCAAAUGUUCAGUGGCGUAAGGGUGCGUAACACGUGGGCAAUCUGCCGAGAAGUGGGGGAUAGCUCGCCGAAAGGCGAAUUAAUACCGCAUAUGACUGGAAAGGACAUCCUUUCGACGUCAAAGCCGGGGCAACCUGGCGCUUCUUGAUGAGCCCGCGGCCUAUCAGCUAGUUGGUGAGGUAACGGCUCACCAAGGCUAUGACGGGUAGCUGGUCUGAGAGGACGACCAGCCACACUGGAACUGAGACACGGUCCAGACACCUACGGGUGGCAGCAGUCGAGAAUUUUUCUCAAUGGGGGAAACCCUGAAGGAGCGACGCCGCGUGGAGGAUGAAGGUCUUCGGAUUGUAAACUCCUGUCAUUUGGGAACAAGUUGCAGCGAUUAACUGUCGCGGCAUUGAUAGUACCAGAAGAGGAAGAGACGGCUAACUCUGUGCCAGCAGCCGCGGUAAUACAGAGGUCUCAAGCGUUGUCGGAUUCAUUGGGCGUAAAGGGUGCGUAGCGGCGGGUAAGCGGAUG
Molecule: ribosomal RNA, 602 nt
Filed under: uncultured Verrucomicrobiota bacterium
Lineage: Bacteria; Pseudomonadati; Verrucomicrobiota
Description: bacterial SSU rRNA
Rfam family: Bacterial small subunit ribosomal RNA
Source: RNAcentral